AUGGAUCUGUCCUGUCUGGAUCAUGAGUUCUCUUGGGCUGAAAUCCUGGAAGCAAUUAAUCACUCUCCUAACAGCCGCAGCCCGGGUCCGGAUGGAUUCAAAAAUGAGAUCUAUAACUCCUUCCACAGCAUCCUCAAGGUCGACUUGCAGCGCUUCUUCUCAGACUUGUAUCACAACCGGGUGGACCUCUGUGGUAUUAACAUGGCUUUCAUCACUCUUUUGCCAAAGAAGGAAACGCCUCUUGACAUACGUGACUACCGGCCUAUUUCUAUGGUCCACAGCGUGCCGAAGCUAGCAAGCAAGGUUCUCACCCGUAGGUUGCAGCGUCAGAUGCCUGAGUUGAUUCACCCAUUGCAGUCUGGCUUUGCUAAGGGCAGGUCUAUUAUGGAAAACUUUGCCAUGGCAGCCGAUAUGAUUCAGAGUGCUCAUAAGAGACACUUGCCUAUGAUUGUUCUGAAGUUGGAC
RNAcentral lists this ribosomal RNA (465 nucleotides) under Triticum aestivum (bread wheat). Its description in RNAcentral is "partial small subunit ribosomal RNA". Lineage: Eukaryota; Viridiplantae; Streptophyta; Magnoliopsida; Poales; Poaceae. The record is from RNAcentral.